Long non-coding RNA from Camarhynchus parvulus, 1660 nucleotides. The record is from Ensembl. NCBI's taxonomy places the organism in Eukaryota, Metazoa, Chordata, Aves, Passeriformes, Thraupidae.
AUCCCGGAAGAGGGGAACAGCUCCGGAUCCCCGGGAAGAUGCGGGAACAGCUCCGGAUCCCUGGGAAGAUGCGGGAACGGCUCGGGAUCCCCGGGAAGAUGCGGGGGCAGCUCCGGAUCCCCGGGAAGAUGCGGGAACAGCUCCGGAUCCCUGGGAAGAUGCGGGAACAGCUCCGGAUCCCGGGAAGAUGCGGGAACGGCUCGGGAUCCCCGGGAGGUGGGACAGCUCCGGAUCCCGAGGGCCGCUCGGAUCCCCGGGAAGAUGCGGGAACGGCCCGGGAUCCCGGGAAGAUGCGGGAACAGCUCCGGAUCCCCGGGAAGAUGCGGGAACGGCCCGGGAUCCCCGGGAAGAUGCGGGAACGGCCCGGGAUCCCGGGAAGAUGCGGGAACAGCUCGGGAUCCCCGGGAAGAUGCGGGAACAGCUCCACCUCCCGGCUCGGCGCUCCCGGCUCAGCUCAGGCACCACGUGAUGGUUUCGCUGCCAUUUCAGGGAUCCCGGAGAGGCGGCUCCUGUCCUUUGGCAGACGGAAACUCAGCCCCAAAUCCGCUCCCUGCUCGGGGAAACGGCGCUGGAGAGGCUGUGGGGAUGGGGAUGGGCUGGGGGUGGCUGUGCAGAGCUCUGUGGAUGUUCCAAAGCCCAGGGAUGUGCUGGGGAUGGCUGUGCAGGGCUCUGUGGAUGUUCCAAAGCCCAGGGAUGUGCUGGGGGUGGCUGUGCAGAGCUCUGUGGAUGUUCCAAAGCCCAGGGAUGUGCUGGGGAUGGCUGUGCAGGGCUCUGUGGAUGUUCCAAAUCCCAGGGAUGUGCUGGGGGUGGCUGUGCAGGGCUCUGUGGAUGUUCCAAAGGCCAGGGAUGUGCUGGGGGUGGCUGUGCAGGGCUCUGUGGAUGUUCCAAAGCCCAGGGAUGUGCUGGGGUGGCUGUGCAGGGCUCUGUGGAUGUUCCUGGCAUUCCAAACCUCAGGGAUGUGCUGGGGAUGGCUGUGCAGGGCUCUGUGGAUGUUCCUGGCAUCCCAAACCUCAGGGAUGUGCUGGGAUGGCUGUGCAGGGCUCUGUGGAUGUUCCAAAGGCCAGGGAUGUGCUGGGGAUGGCUGUGCAGGGCUCUGUGGAUGUUCCUGGCAUUCCAAACCCCAGGGAUGUGCUGGGAUGGCUGUGCAGGGCUCUGUGGAUGUUCCAAAGCCCAGGGAUGUGCUGGGGGUGGCUGUGCAGGGCUCUGUGGAUGUUCCUGGCAUUCCAAACCUCAGGGAUGUGCUGGGGAUGGCUGUGCAGGGCUCUGUGGAUGUUCCUGGCAUCCCAAAUCCCAGGGAUGUGCUGGGGGUGGCUGUGCAGGGCUCUGUGGAUGUUCCAAAGCCCAGGGAUGUGCUGGGAUGGCUGUGCAGGGCUCUGUGGAUGUUCCUGGCAUUCCAAAGCCCAGGGAUGUGCUGGGGUGGCUGUGCAGGGCUCUGUGGAUGUUCCAAAGCCCAGGGAUGUGCUGGGGAUGGCUGUGCAGGGCUCUGUGGAUGUUCCUGGCGUCCCAAAGCCCAGGGAUGGAUGCUGAGCUUUUGUUCAGGAGGAGGGACCAAGCACCUUGGUGCUCUAAACUCAGGAUAUAAUAUUAAUGUAUCAACUCAGAGUAUAAAAUGCUUCAGCAGGGACUGUCCUGAGCCAUUUGUGGGCAGUUUGAAAUGCGG